UACGAAGGGGGCUAGCGUUGCUCGGAAUUACUGGGCGUAAAGCGCACGUAGGCGGCUUCUUAAGUCGGUGGUGAAAUCCUGGAGCUCAACUCCAGAACUGCCUUCGAUACUGGGAGCUCGAGUCCGGAGAGGUGAGUGGAACUGCGAGUGUAGAGGUGAAAUUCGUAGAUAUUCGCAAGAACACCAGUGGCGAAGGCGGCUCACUGGCCCGGUACUGACGCUGAGGUGCGAAAGCGUGGGAGCAAACAGGG
Molecule: ribosomal RNA, 251 nt
Filed under: uncultured bacterium
Lineage: Bacteria
Description: partial 16S ribosomal RNA
Rfam family: Bacterial small subunit ribosomal RNA
Source: RNAcentral